This 429-nucleotide ribosomal RNA is filed under the name Chloroflexota bacterium. Its description in RNAcentral is "Chloroflexi bacterium partial 16S ribosomal RNA". It matches the Rfam family "Bacterial small subunit ribosomal RNA", at positions 355 to 776 of the family's 1533-position model. Lineage: Bacteria; Bacillati; Chloroflexota. The record is from RNAcentral.
UGGGGAAUAUUGCACAAUGGGCGCAAGCCUGAUGCAGCCAUGCCGCGUGUGUGAAGAAGGCCUUCGGGUUGUAAAGCACUUUCAGCGGGGAGGAAGGCGUUAAGGUUAAUAACCUUUGCGAUUGACGUUACCCGCAGAAGAAGCACCGGCUAACUCCGUGCCAGCAGCCGCGGUAAUACGGAGGUUGCAAGCGUUAAUCGGAAUUACUGGGCGUAAAGCGAACGCAGGCGGUCUGUCAAGUCGGAUGUGAAAUCCCCGUGCUCAACCUGGAAACUGCAUUCGAACCUGGCAGGCUAGAGGCUUGUAGAGGGGGGUAGAAUUCCAGGUGUAGCGGUGAAAUGCGUAGAGAACUGGAGGAAUACCGGUGACGAAGGCGGCGCCCUGGACGAAGACUGACACUCAGGUGCGAAAGCGUGGGGAGCAAACAGG